UAGAUGGCGACCGGCGCACGGGUGAGUAACACGUAUCCAACCUGCCGAUAACUCGGGGAUAGCCUUUCGAGAGAAAGAUUAAUACCCGAUGGUAUAAUAAAGCCGCAUGGUUUAAUUAUUAAAGAAUUUCGGUUAUCGAUGGGGAUGCGUUCCAUUAGGCAGUUGGUGAGGUAACGGCUCACCAAACCUUCGAUGGAUAGGGGUUCUGAGAGGAAGGUCCCCCACAUUGGAACUGAGACACGGUCCAA
Molecule: ribosomal RNA, 248 nt
Filed under: uncultured bacterium
Lineage: Bacteria
Description: partial 16S ribosomal RNA
Rfam family: Bacterial small subunit ribosomal RNA
Source: RNAcentral